GGUUAAGCGACUAAGCGUACACGGUGGAUGCCCUGGCAGUCAGAGGCGAUGAAGGACGUGCUAAUCUGCGAUAAGCGUCGGUAAGGUGAUAUGAACCGUUAUAACCGGCGAUUUCCGAAUGGGGAAACCCAGUGUGUUUCGACACACUAUCAUUAACUGAAUCCAUAGGUUAAUGAGGCGAACCGGGGGAACUGAAACAUCUAAGUACCCCGAGGAAAAGAAAUCAACCGAGAUUCCCCCAGUAGCGGCGAGCGAACGGGGAGCAGCCCAGAGCCUGAAUCAGUGUGUGUGUUAGUGGAAGCGUCUGGAAAGGCGCGCGAUACAGGGUGACAGCCCCGUACACAAAAAUGCACAUACUGUGAGCUCGAUGAGUAGGGCGGGACACGUGGUAUCCUGUCUGAAUAUGGGGGGACCAUCCUCCAAGGCUAAAUACUCCUGACUGACCGAUAGUGAACCAGUACCGUGAGGGAAAGGCGAAAAGAACCCCGGCGAGGGGAGUGAAAAAGAACCUGAAACCGUGUACGUACAAGCAGUGGGAGCACGCUUAGGCGUGUGACUGCGUACCUUUUGUAUAAUGGGUCAGCGACUUAUAUUCUGUAGCAAGGUUAACCGAAUAGGGGAGCCGAAGGGAAACCGAGUCUUAACUGGGCGUUAAGUUGCAGGGUAUAGACCCGAAACCCGGUGAUCUAGCCAUGGGCAGGUUGAAGGUUGGGUAACACUAACUGGAGGACCGAACCGACUAAUGUUGAAAAAUUAGCGGAUGACUUGUGGCUGGGGGUGAAAGGCCAAUCAAACCGGGAGAUAGCUGGUUCUCCCCGAAAGCUAUUUAGGUAGCGCCUCGUGAAUUCAUCUCCGGGGGUAGAGCACUGUUUCGGCAAGGGGGUCAUCCCGACUUACCAACCCGAUGCAAACUGCGAAUACCGGAGAAUGUUAUCACGGGAGACACACGGCGGGUGCUAACGUCCGUCGUGAAGAGGGAAACAACCCAGACCGCCAGCUAAGGUCCCAAAGUCAUGGUUAAGUGGGAAACGAUGUGGGAAGGCCCAGACAGCCAGGAUGUUGGCUUAGAAGCAGCCAUCAUUUAAAGAAAGCGUAAUAGCUCACUGGUCGAGUCGGCCUGCGCGGAAGAUGUAACGGGGCUAAACCAUGCACCGAAGCUGCGGCAGCGACGCUGAUGCGUUGUUGGGUAGGGGAGCGUUCUGUAAGCCUGCGAAGGUGUGCUGUGAGGCAUGCUGGAGGUAUCAGAAGUGCGAAUGCUGACAUAAGUAACGAUAAAGCGGGUGAAAAGCCCGCUCGCCGGAAGACCAAGGGUUCCUGUCCAACGUUAAUCGGGGCAGGGUGAGUCGACCCCUAAGGCGAGGCCGAAAGGCGUAGUCGAUGGGAAACAGGUUAAUAUUCCUGUACUUGGUGUUACUGCGAAGGGGGGACGGAGAAGGCUAUGUUGGCCGGGCGACGGUUGUCCCGGUUUAAGCGUGUAGGCUGGUUUUCCAGGCAAAUCCGGAAAAUCAAGGCUGAGGCGUGAUGACGAGGCACUACGGUGCUGAAGCAACAAAUGCCCUGCUUCCAGGAAAAGCCUCUAAGCAUCAGGUAACAUCAAAUCGUACCCCAAACCGACACAGGUGGUCAGGUAGAGAAUACCAAGGCGCUUGAGAGAACUCGGGUGAAGGAACUAGGCAAAAUGGUGCCGUAACUUCGGGAGAAGGCACGCUGAUAUGUAGGUGAAGUCCCUUGCGGAUGGAGCUGAAAUCAGUCGAAGAUACCAGCUGGCUGCAACUGUUUAUUAAAAACACAGCACUGUGCAAACACGAAAGUGGACGUAUACGGUGUGACGCCUGCCCGGUGCCGGAAGGUUAAUUGAUGGGGUCAGCGCAAGCGAAGCUCUUGAUCGAAGCCCCGGUAAACGGCGGCCGUAACUAUAACGGUCCUAAGGUAGCGAAAUUCCUUGUCGGGUAAGUUCCGACCUGCACGAAUGGCGUAAUGAUGGCCAGGCUGUCUCCACCCGAGACUCAGUGAAAUUGAACUCGCUGUGAAGAUGCAGUGUACCCGCGGCAAGACGGAAAGACCCCGUGAACCUUUACUAUAGCUUGACACUGAACAUUGAGCCUUGAUGUGUAGGAUAGGUGGGAGGCUU
RNAcentral lists this ribosomal RNA (2131 nucleotides) under Escherichia coli. RNAcentral's name for it is "partial 23S ribosomal RNA". It matches the Rfam family "Bacterial large subunit ribosomal RNA", at positions 1 to 2157 of the family's 2925-position model. Lineage: Bacteria; Pseudomonadati; Pseudomonadota; Gammaproteobacteria; Enterobacterales; Enterobacteriaceae. The record is from RNAcentral.